CUCUGUUGGGUAUGUGCAAAGUUGAGCUGUUGAUGCAGUGUUAAGGGUUGAAUUGAUUGAUUAAUUGAUUUGAAUUUUUAACGUAAAAUCUGUUUGGUUGUAUGUUUUAUUCUUUCGUUGGUUGGACUACUUUUCGGAUUCAAUAAUAUAAGAAUUUAUUAGGUUCCUAAUCCAGAACCUCGUCGACCAGACCAGAACCACCAUCGGAGGGAAUCGAAUUGGAAAGAUGAACUUGAGAAUAUACUAUAGAAAUUGGCAACGAGGUUGUGGUAGUGGACAGGACGAAGACGAAGAUGGAAGGAAGGAGACGAUGUCAGUGCGGGAGAAAAUGAGGUGGCACAUUAUCACCGUUAGUCACAUCAGUUAGUUUUUAACAGUGUCAGUUUUGAAGGACUAAAAUCAAAGUUUCCUUAAGUAGCAGGACUAAAAUGUAUCUUACUUUGAAAGAUGGACUAAAACCAAAAUCGCUUGAUAGUAUAGGGACUAAAAACAUAUUUAACCCAUAAUUGUAAGAUCC
RNAcentral lists this long non-coding RNA (517 nucleotides) under Vigna radiata. RNAcentral describes it as "long non-coding RNA (VRAD_LNC003774)". Lineage: Eukaryota; Viridiplantae; Streptophyta; Magnoliopsida; Fabales; Fabaceae. The record is from RNAcentral.